RNA transcript from Lycium barbarum (goji berry), 4148 nucleotides. It is a transcript of the gene named cyclin-dependent kinase G-2, with no coding region annotated. The transcript is spliced from 9 exons. The record is from RefSeq and is a predicted model, not a curated record. Lineage: Eukaryota; Viridiplantae; Streptophyta; Magnoliopsida; Solanales; Solanaceae.
UGCGGUAUUAGGACCUUUCCCUUCACUUUCACCGUAUUGCAAAUAUCCUCUCCCUAUAAAAAAGCUUCAUCGCCGCCUUUGUCUUUUGUUUCUUCGAUUCGAUUCGCCGGUAAGUAAUUCCCAUCUCACCGGAAAACCCCCCCCCAAAUUUACUCUUUUUCUCCUUAAUUUCUAGGGUUUCUUCUUCUCCGCCCUCGAAUUUUCUAGAAAUUACAGAAAAAGGAAAAAUAAAAUAAAAAUUCAAUUGUUUUUUUUUUUAUAUAAUUUGAUUAGUCUUCUUACCAGAUCUGCUAUUGAGUUUUGAAUUAACGGGUUUUUUGUUCGAGCAAGGGUUUGUUUGACUUUAAUUAGUGAAAUUAGGGUUAGGGUUUGUAGGUGAAUUAUUAGGGUUUAUAUGGCUGCUGGAAGGCAUGGCGGUUACAGGGAUAAUGAAUUUAGGGGACGUGAUGGUGAGUUUGAGGUAUCAAGGAGGGAACUUGGUGGUGGUUAUCCGAAAGGGGAUUAUGAACGAAUUAGGGAUCGUGACGAUCGGGAGAAUCGAGUUAAUGAUAGGAGUGGCGGUCGAGAUGAUAGGGGUAGUAGGUUGAGACAGAAGGAUGUAAAAGAAAGGGGUGUGAUGAAUGGCGGUUAUAAUAGGUCCGUGUCGUCGAGUAGGAGUGAUUCGGGUAGUAGUGAUGGUGGUGCAGCGAGGAGAAGUAGUGGGCGUAGUGUUAGGGAUGUUGUUGAUCGAGAGCCUGGGGAAUUGUCUAGUGAGAGUGGUGGGUCUGAUGGGGGUGUUGAUUCGGACCAUAAGACGAAUACCAAGAAUGUCGACAAUGGGAAUCAGUCACCAGUACAGAGCAAGAAACGGAAGUUCUCUCCGAUUAUAUGGGAUAGGGAAGAUAAGGAAGCGAAUAGAAUGUUAAAGAGUAGAAAUUCGCCAGCAGAGGUUAAGCUACCUCCUCCGCCUCCUUUACCAAAGUCGUCUGGCGAGUUGGCUGAUCUUCCAUUUGAAAGGGUUGAGCAGGUUGAGCUGUUGAAGAAUAAUGAUAUUCGCAGCACGGAGCCAUCACCAAGUAAUCCAAAUCCAGCACUUGGUUUACGUGUUGAUGCAGCUGAAUCCCCAGUUGACAUAUGUUCGCCACCUCCUGAUGAGGAGAAAUUGCCGAAUCAGGAAGCCAGGAAAGUAGAAGAUGAGGAAUACGUGCCGACUAUAAGAUCAUCUCGGUGGGCAACCGAUGCUGACUCUCCAGCUGAUGAAGGUGAGAUUUCAGGUGACGAUAUGCCCCAAUUGAAGAAGCGACGAGCAGUUUCCCAGUCAGCCGGAAUGGGGGGACGCAGGAAAUCAGUAACUCCAGAAUUUGGGGACCUCAAGAGAGACUGCUCCGGGGGGAAUAGAGCAAGGUCCUCAGAUUCUGAUGAACGUAUUAGGUCUUCCAGCAGAGAUAGCUACCAGGACAAUGAUUUAGAUAAGAAUGACUCAAUGGAUGUGGAUAAGGACCGUAAUUAUGAUGAUAGUAGUGUUAGCCAGUCAGAUAGAGAUUCUGAAGAUGAACAUGAUUCUCGUGGUACACCAGAGCCUGCACUUCCUCCUCAACGGAGUGUAAACAUGCUGCAGGGGUGUAGAAGUGUCGAUGAGUUCGAGCGGCUUAACAGGAUAGAUGAAGGUACUUAUGGUGUUGUUUACAGAGCUAAAGAUAAGAAAACAGGAGAAAUUGUUGCACUAAAGAAGGUUAAGAUGGAGAAGGAACGAGAAGGAUUUCCCUUGACAUCUCUAAGGGAGAUAAACAUUCUUCUUUCUAUUCAUCACCCCUCAAUUGUAGAUGUCAAAGAAGUAGUUGUAGGAAGCAGUCUUGACAGUAUUUUUAUGGUGAUGGAGUACAUGGAACAUGAUCUGAAGGCAUUAAUGGAGACAAUGAAACAACCAUUUACCCAAAGUGAAGUCAAAUGUCUUAUGCUCCAGCUUUUGCAGGGUGUCAAGUAUCUUCAUGAUAAUUGGGUCCUUCACCGAGAUCUGAAGACUUCAAAUUUGCUUCUAAACAACCGAGGUGAGUUGAAGAUUUGUGACUUUGGUUUAGCUCGUCAAUAUGGGAGCCCCUUGAAGCCAUACACUCAUUUGGUGGUUACUUUGUGGUACAGGGCGCCAGAACUUCUGUUGGGAGCCAAACAAUAUUCUACUGCAAUUGACAUGUGGUCACUGGGUUGUAUCAUGGCGGAGAUGCUAUCCAAAGAACCGCUCUUCAAUGGACGAACAGAAGUUGAUCAAAUUGACAAGAUUUUCAGAAUUCUUGGCACCCCAAAUGAGACAAUUUGGCCAGGGUUUUCCAAACUUCCUGGGGUGAAGGUCAACUUUGUAAAGCAUCAGUAUAAUAAUUUAAGAAAAAUAUUUCCCGCUACAGCCUUCACGGGGUCGCCAGUCCUAUCAGAUGCUGGCCUUGACCUGCUGAAUAAGCUUCUAACUUAUGACCCUGAGGAGAGAAUAACUGCCGGUGAUGCUUUGAACCAUGAGUGGUUUCGUGAAGUUCCUCUCCCCAAGUCUAAAGAAUUCAUGCCUACUUUCCCUGCACAGCAUGCGCAAGAUAGGCGUGUGCGAAGAGUAGUAAAGAGUCCAGAUCCUCUUGAGGAGCAGCGAAGAAAGGAACUGAAGCAAGGGGUGUUAGGAACUGGUGGAUUGUUUGGCUAAGAUAAGUGAAUAGUGCUCAGUAACUGUUUGAGUUUUGCUUUCUCUAAUACUCAUGGGUUGACAUGGUUGAGGUUAGAGCCAUGCAUUGAAAGGAAGUUGCAAAUAUUGUUUGCGAGACGAUCAGUUCAGCUGUUUUUUAGCAGGCUUAUCUGACAAUUAGAUCGAGAAACAAUUCUUUUGGCUGUGCGUUAAGAUCUGUUGCAGGUUGACCUACUCGGCUCUGGUGCCUUAUCAAAAUCUUUGAGACUGCUUGCAUGGCCAGGGGUGACAUAGUGAGCUUACCUGUUAAGGAACAAUUUCAAUUGAAACUCGUGUAUGUAACAUAUUUCCCAUUGGCAGUGUAAACAAUUUUCUUGAAAUUGUUUUUGUUACUCAAAAACAUAUGGAUUAGUUUCGUACUUCUAGUAUGUCGAUUUUAAUUUUCAUAUUCUGUUUGCAAGAGAUGGUGGUGUAAAGCAGAUGGGGAAUUCUUAGCUUUUUCAUUGACGAAGAAUUUCACUGAAACUAUUGCACAUUUGAAGUAGCAAGGAAAGCAGGUUGAGGAGCUUAUCUACAACCUGGCAUACAUAGAAUUUCAAAUUUAUUUUCGAUACUUCAGAUACUCGUAUUGUCUGCCCAAGCCAGUAAAGGCAGGUACAUUAGAAUCACUAGUCCGGAAGCUCAUCUACUAGCAGGGAAGUGGGUGGAAGGACAUAUUUCAAGGAAAUAGAUCUGUGUUCCCAGUGCAGACUAGGAAGAGAUUGAUACAAGCUGUAUAGCUACUUGAAGAAGUUGGGGGUCUGUUUCCUAGAAUGUUGAGGCUAUGAAAUGGCAGAUGAAUGUUCAUCGUGGUGCUUGAAAGACCAUGCAAAGGUUUUUUCCUGCAUGUUUUGGUCACCACAUGGGUGUCUUCAGAACUUUGCAAUCAGAAAAGGAGAAGGGAAAGCAGUAGAGACUGGUCUUCAGCAAAAUAGAUCUGGUGAAAUCACAAACUCCCUCUUGAAGAGGAAAAAUCGUCCGUAAUUUACCAACUUGAUUCUUUUUAUUGAAUAUGUUUGUAACUAAAGCGCCUUCCUGUUUUCCUUAAUAACUGAUAUCAUGCAGUCUUCUGUUGAAACUUAGGGUGGAGAAGGAAUGGUAUGUUUAAAUGUUGGACCAAGUAACAAAAGGUUGCCCUGUGCAGAAUGCAUCUGCUUUAUUGUGCUUCAAGGCUCUUUUAGGCCUUGGAUGUUAUCCGAGCCUAAGUGGAGGAGUGUCUGCUUGUUGUUUGCGAGAAGUUUUCUUGUGGCUAUUGCUACCGUCUUCUCCUAAUGAACUUGAUGGUUAAUCGUUUGUUAGGAUUGGUGAGAAAUAUGCCUCUACACGAUUUUCUUAACAAUAAUAAUGAUUGGAGAAUAAAUUCUGUGUGGAGUCUUCAUACUUAAACACAUUGAUGCUGUACAGCCAGAUAAAUAUGGUAAAAAUGAAACUGACGUUCUUGAUGGUAACGUUGGCAUUCCUUUCAGAA